Molecule: non-coding RNA, 746 nt
Organism: Anolis sagrei ordinatus
Lineage: Eukaryota; Metazoa; Chordata; Lepidosauria; Squamata; Anolidae
Source: RefSeq, a predicted model, not a curated record
CGCGCAUGCGCGAUAACGGUCGGCUCGGAAUUGUCUGUCGUGAGGUAAAAUGGCGGCAUGCUGAGGAGAGCAUUUCUCUUUGUAUGGCAGUACUGAUAUGCGGCAGGUACUGGCUUGUUCAGUAGACUCUCCUCUACAGUUCCAUUUCAGCGGGAAGCCUUAGCCUUGAGCGGUUGUGUUGUUAAAGUGCCAAGUAUGGAACCCUGCGCAGACGGUCAGUCAAUGCGACUUAAGCAACGUGCAGUCAUUGAAUUCUUGACCGCAGAAGGAGUCGCCCCAAAGGAGAUUCAUCAGAGAAUGCAAGCUGUUUAUGGGGAUUGUGUGGAUGUGAGUACUGUGCGUCGUUGGGUGAAAAAGUUUAAAGACGUUGAGGUGGGAACCUCUGACUUGCGUGACAAAGAAAGAAUUGGACGUCCUGUGACAGCAGCCACCGAGUUUCACAAGCAAGAGGUUGACAGAUUGAUUCAGGACGAUCGUUGUAUCACUCAGAGAGAAAUUUCAAGCAUAAUCGGCAUUUCGCAAGAACGUGUGGCUCACAUUAUUACUUUGCUUGGCUAUCAGAAGAUCUGUGCACAAUGGAUUGCGGAAAAACAGAGCAUCUAGGACGGCUUCAGAAAACGUGUUCAUCGUUGGCAGAAAUGUAUCCAAUUGUCUGGUGAUUAUGUCGAAAAGUGAAUAGUGGUAGUUAAAGAGCACAUUCUAAGGAUGAUUUCUGCAUUUGGUUUAUUAAAAUAUUUCCAUCCAAA